GAGUUUGAUCGUGGCUCAGAGCGAACGCUGGCGGCAGGCUUAACACAUGCAAGUCGAGCGGGCGUAGCAAUACGUCAGCGGCAGACGGGUGAGUAACACGUGGGAACGUACCUUUUGGUUCGGAACGACUGAGGGAAACUUCAGCUAAUACCGGAUAAGCCCUAACGGGGAAAGAUUUAUCGCCGAAAGAUCGGCCCGCGUCUGAUUAGCUAGUUGGUGAGGUAAUGGCUCACCAAGGCGACGAUCAGUAGCUGGUCUGAGAGGAUGAUCAGCCACACUGGGACUGAGACACGGCCCAGACUCCUACGGGAGGCAGCAGUGGGGAAUAUUGGACAAUGGGGGCAACCCUGAUCCAGCCAUGCCGCGUGGGUGAUGAAGGCCCUAGGGUUGUAAAGCUCUUUUGUGCGGGAAGAUAAUGACGGUACCGCAAGAAUAAGCCCCGACUAACUUCGUGCCAGCAGCCGCAGUAAU
RNAcentral lists this ribosomal RNA (471 nucleotides) under uncultured microorganism. RNAcentral's name for it is "bacterial SSU rRNA". It matches the Rfam family "Bacterial small subunit ribosomal RNA", at positions 9 to 524 of the family's 1533-position model. The record is from RNAcentral.